Molecule: long non-coding RNA, 1489 nt
Filed under: Ananas comosus (pineapple)
Lineage: Eukaryota; Viridiplantae; Streptophyta; Magnoliopsida; Poales; Bromeliaceae
Description: long non-coding RNA (ACOM_LNC029719)
Source: RNAcentral
AGGAUUUCAAAAAAAAAAAUGAUAUUGAUCAUUUGUGGUUACAUAACAUUUAGGGUGUGUUUGGUUCGCUUCUUUUUUACCAUGGAAUCGGAAUCGGAAUAGGUGAAUCCGUUUGUGGAUGUUUGGUAUGCGGGAGUCUCAUUCAGAUUCCGGUUCCCGAGCGGAAUGGGAAUCUCCCAAUCACCUCUUUUUCCAAUUCGGCCUAGGAUGUUGGAUUAGAAGUUGAAUCCGGACAGAAUGGAUAUUUAUUCGGAUUAAAUUUAUUUUUUCAACUUUUUUAAUUAAAAUAUGAGUUUAAAUUUAGAAAUUAAAUUUAUAAUUUUAAAUUUUAAUUNUUAAAUUAAAUUUAUGGAUUCAAAUUAAAAUUUAAAUUGUAAUUUUAAGUUUGAAUUUGAAUAGAUCAAAAUUUAGUUUUAAAUUUUGAAUUAUCCACUCAACUUCAAAGUUUACUUUUUUAAAAAAAUAUAUAAAAUUUUGACAUUAUUUUAAAAUUUUGAUGUAAAUUUUUAAUAUUUAAUUUUAAUUUGAAUUUAAAUUAAUAUAUUAUAAAGAUGAAGUUCGCAUAUUAAUUUGAUUAUGUUUUUUAUAUCUACCUGAACCAAGCACCGACAAUAGAAAUAAUUUAUUUCGAUUCCGAUUCAGGUAACGAACCAAAUAGAAUUAGAUAAUGAGUCAUUCCGAUUCCGAUUCCAAUUCUGGUUGCGACUUCAAACCAAACACGCCCUUAGUUACUCAAAUCAAACAACAUCCUCCACAAAUCAUUCCAUUACAUUUCCCCAACAAUUUUAGAAAAACCAUUUUUGCUCAGAAACACAAUCAUUCUUGUCCAUCCUUUUCAACAGUUGCUUCUUCAUAGGAGGAGCACUGCCUCAAUUCCUGGAGUGAAUAUAUAUCCACUUAAAAUGCUUCCACCAAAGGAUCAAAAGUAUAGCCCCAAUCAUACCCACCUUGGAAAACCACUUGUGAUGAUUAAAUUAUCUCCAAUUGUACCUUCUCUCAAAAAAAAAAAAAAAACUCCAAUUGCUCCAUCCCCUAUCAUUAAACCCCACACAUCAAUUCAUCACAUUCCCUCAUGAUUUUCCACUACCCAACCAUGAUAUCCUCUCUCUCUCUCUCUCUCUCUCUCUCUCUCUCUCUCUCAUUUAAAUUGUCUGAGAAUGAUACUUCCAGUAUUUAUAUUCAAUCUCUCUCUCUCUCUCAUUUAAAUUGUCUGAGAAUAAUACUUCCAGUAUUUAUAUUCAAUCUCUCUCUCUCUCAUUUAAAUUGUCAGAGAAUGAUACUUCCAGUAUUUAUAUUCAAUCUCUCUCUCUCUUAUUUAAAUUGUCAGAGAAUGAUACUUUUAGUAUUUAUAUUCAAUAUUAUGGAAUGAUCAUUUUUCGUCAAAACUUAAAUUAUCAGAAAAUAAUAUUUUUAAUAUUUAUAUUUUACACGUUUGAAUUUGAAAUAUUUGAUUGGUUUGAAAUAUAAACUUUAAAUUAAAUAGAGUAUG